RNAcentral lists this ribosomal RNA (395 nucleotides) under uncultured bacterium. RNAcentral describes it as "partial 16S ribosomal RNA". It matches the Rfam family "Bacterial small subunit ribosomal RNA", at positions 523 to 918 of the family's 1533-position model. The record is from RNAcentral.
AUACGUAGGGGGCAAGCGUUGUCCGGAAUUACUGGGCGUAAAGCGCACGCAGGCUGACUUAUAAGUCGGUAGUCUAAUGCGGAGGCUCAACUUCCGUUUAUCUAUCGAUACUGUAAGACUAGAGUAUGUGAGAGGGAAGUGGAAUUCCCGGUGUAGCGGCGAAAUGCGUAGAUAUCGGGAGGAACACCAGUGGCGAAGGCGACUUCCUGGCACAAUACUGACGCUCAUGUGCGAAAGCUAGGGUAGCGAACGGGAUUAGAUACCCCGGUAGUCCUAGCCGUAAACGAUGGAUACUAGGUGUGGGUGUCGCAGGGCAUCCGUGCCGCAGCUAACGCGUUAAGUAUCCCGCCUGGGGACUACGGUCGCAAGACUGAAACUCAAAUGAAUUGACGGGG